This is a long non-coding RNA of Cairina moschata (Muscovy duck), 3507 nucleotides long. Lineage: Eukaryota; Metazoa; Chordata; Aves; Anseriformes; Anatidae. The record is from Ensembl.
AGAUACCAUAUUCAGUGGGAAGCAGGGGUGAGGAUGCAUGAGGCUGGAGAGGAAAAGGCAGGGGGGGAGGGCGAAGGGUUUGUAUUCUUGACCUUAGGUAGCUGGUGCUGAGAGGUAGUGUAUUGUGUUGAAGCACAGACAGAAGUAGAGUUUGUAGAUGGGAAGGAGGGAGGAGGGAGGAGGAAGCUGGGACAGCGAGGGGGGAGGAGGAGAGAGCAGCAUCUCUAUCUUUCUUUGCAGACCACGCUGCUAAACAGCCAGGGGAGGCUCAUGCUUCCCUAAUAUCCAUCACUGCCUGCUUCCAACGUGGUCACAGACAGAGCAACAAAGAGGGUCUCAGAGGUGCAAAUGGAAGCCGAUUUAUCUGCUUAGCAACUUUUAUGUAUUGACACCCAGUUCAGCAGGACCUAGCUGUAUAACACCCAGUAGAAGAGUACACCUGGAAGACUACAGUCUGGCUGGGUUUACACGUCAUGUACAUAAGCUAGUAGGUUGUUUGAGACCUAAGCUGGCUUUCCUUGGAGUCAGGUUGAGGGCCACUGGCCCAGGCAACGUCCAAAGCAGAUAAUACUUGCAUGGAUAUUUGAGAGUUGCUAAUUUUUUGGCAUUGUGUUUUGUAUUUUUUCAACAUUGCAUUAUUCCAGUAUUGUUAAUAUUCGCAGAUGUAAUUUUCAGCAUAAAAAAAAUGCAGGAUUGAUUCAUCUGUUUACUAAUGGAACUGUGAUGACUGAUAACUAUGAGAGUUUCAAAACCAAAUGAAUUAGAUGCUAGCUAUGUAACUAACCAAAUGCAUUACAGAGGAGAACCUUUUCCUAAAUUUCUGUAACACUUUUAGACAGUUGGAUAUGAUGAUGAAUUUUCGUUGGAACAUCCAAUGUUUUAAUGAAUGAAAAUCAGUGAAGUUCUUGUUAAGAUCUGCGAAUACUCAUAAAACAUUUAAAAAAACAUCAGUUUUGACACAAACUGCUUGACAGAACUGUUGACUACACUGGGUUUUGAUCUCUCCUGUUAUUGUAGGUCAGUUAAGAAACUCUAGAGGAAGAAGACAGGAGAAGAGAAAGCUGUGUGCUGUAUUUUUCCUCAGCUAUAGCUUACAACAAUUUAGAAGCUGCAGGGAACUUCUUGUACCAUUUACCUUAAUAAGGAAAAAAACACUUUCUAUCAGAAAAUACAUUUCACAGGUUGUUUCUACAUGACUCUAUCUUUGGGUAUUCCAAAUGGAAUUAUAGAAAACUGAAAGAUUAACUCCUCCACACACUCCAAAGCUCUCACAUCUAAUAGGAGUUUAAUAUAAAUAGCUAAAUAUUUAUUAAGGGGCAAGAACAGAUGAUGAUCCAGUACAAAGGGGUAUUGCAGGAGAACUACAUUAACUCUGGGUUUUGCCACUGUUCUUAUGUGACUUUGAAAUAUUUGAGCUCUGUCUCUUAAAAUUAUUUAGCUAAAAUUACUUGUCAUGGACUUCAGUUGUAACUAGGGACUCAGAGGCUCAUGGAAUCUAUGCAAGGAUCACUUCAGCCCUGUAAUUUCCCACCAGUAAAAUGGAGAAAGAACACAUCUUUGCUUACCUGCAGUUUUCCAAGGGUGUUAUUAAACAUUGAGCUGUUUAAGAAUUACAGUACAUAGACCAUGAAUGAAAAAAUGGAGAUUCUAGUACUUCUAAAAACUAAGAAGGAACAGUUUUUAUUCAAGUGAGACUGAAUUUUUUACUAUUUUUAACAUUAUCAAUUGAUGCAUCUAAAAUGUAUCAGUAAGCUCUUUUGUAUCAGUUUUUAGUGCAAGUGAAUGAGAGAUAUUAACUCUCUCAAUAUGAUGAGUUAAGAAAUAUAUAUAUAUUUAAAAUUAAGGUAAAAAAUAAAAAUAAAAAUGAAAACUCUAAUGAUUUCUAGUAAUUAAAACAAGUUGUUCAGAUAGCAAGUUGUGCACUAGUACUGUAAAUUUAUUUUGUUUAGAAACAGAGAUCUGUGUUUCUUUUUAAGUCAUUAAGUAUGAAAAAAGCCAUCCCUUGGCAUUUGCAUAGACAUACUUUCCUAAAGGUAUGUGAGGAUUGGGAGCAUACAUAAAUGGCAGAUUGGGAAGUAGGUACAAAACGUGGAGAUGAAAAUGGAAAAUGCAUAAGCAUCUGUAAUAGUUUGUAAUCAUUUGCAGGGGAAUAGCACAAUCAGUCUUUGAAUUUAAAGAUAGGUGGUGAGUUAAAACAAGUGUAUCAAACCACACACAGAGCACAAGAUUUGUGUAAUCAGUUUUGCUGUGCGUUCCCAACAGAGUGAGAUGUGCCCGUUCCUCAGCUGUAAGAUGGUGCCACUUGUCUCCUGACCCAAUGUACUGUACAGAGUCCUGCAUCACAUGGCGUGGCAUGUCAAGUCUUACACACCGAGGCUGAGGAAAUUUGAGAGUUGUCAAGAGGUGUUUUUCUGAGCACUCAGAUGUUUCUCAGCCUGGAGGGUAUUUUUUUUUUUUCAUUUUUAUUUUUAUUUUUUUCUCAGUAUGACCAGAUGAAGGAACACUCUUAAGGAAGCGUUUUGAACAGUUAGACGUGCUAAUAGCUACAGAAGCAUCAGUCAGGCUGCAGCUUUUAAGCUUUUGAAAAAUGGUCUUUGAGCAUUCAUUUAAGAUUUUUACACAGGUACAGCAUGACUGAACAAGUGGCUGGGGCUUUUGUGUGGUGCGUGAAUCAGAACGAAAUGUGAGCGAGAUAUGACAGUAGCAACAGUUUCUUUUAUGGUUGAGAGUGGAGAGGAAACGUUUGUGACAUUCUGAAAUGUUCCUGUUGUGCACUGAGAAAGCCAGGGCUUUUUUUUUUCUGGCGUAGGUUGUGCCAGUUGUAAAACAAUGUGUCAGAUUAAUAAAGCAUCCUAUUGAGAAGGAAUAGGAGGUUUGGUGAGGCAUGAUUCAUCCUCGUCUGGUGCAGUAAUUAAGUCUGUUGCUUGCCUUGAGGUCAGUGUGACCCUGUUUAUUUUAAUUUUUCAGUCCCAAAGAUCUGUGCAGUGGGUGUUUAAGGAGGAAUUAGCAAGAGACAGAAAUUUAUUGGUUUCUGUAGUUUUUGGCAAGUGUGUGUUUCCGUUCAUUAUUUUCAUUUUCUCUUCUCAUUCAUUAUUGAAGCACUUAGCUGUUUUAUAAAACCUGACUGACCAUUUAUUUUACUCUUUAAUAACAUUUCUUUUUUGGAGAUAUUAAAAAACAUACACCAUCAUGCUUAGGACCGUUGUAAAUUCAGUGAUAGGAAGAAUAAAAGUAUUUAUAUGACUUUAAACACAAAGCAAUACUUAAUAAAUAUUUUAGGUUCUUUUAAUACAUUUUCAUAUGAAAGAUAAAUCUAUUCCAGGUAUCCUGUUACUUCUUAAGAAGCAGUUCACAACACUUGCUUUCUCAGUUUCCUUCACAUUUGUAAGUAUUUCACAAUAGCAGUCCAUAAAUUAUUUUGCAGUUCUCCUUAAGACUUUUUUUCCCCCAUUUGUUUUGUUUUCAUUUUUAAUAUCUACAAAAACUGAAGAGGAGUCUCUACAAAAA